This 85-nucleotide transfer RNA is filed under the name Candidatus Babeliales bacterium. RNAcentral describes it as "tRNA-Leu". It matches the Rfam family "tRNA". Rfam says of the family: Transfer RNA (tRNA) molecules are approximately 80 nucleotides in length. Lineage: Bacteria; Candidatus Babeliae; Candidatus Babeliales. The record is from RNAcentral.
GCAAGGAUGGCGAAAUUGGUAGACGCGCUGGCCUUAGGAGCCAGUCCCGAAAGGGGUGGGGGUUCAAGUCCCCCUUCUUGCACCA